UACGGAGGGGGCUAGCGUUGUUCGGAAUUACUGGGCGUAAAGCGCACGUAGGCGGACCAUCAAGUUGGGGGUGAAAUCCCGGGGCUCAGCCCCGGAACUGCCUCCAAAACUGCUGGUCUGGAGGUCGAGAGAGGUGAGUGGAAUUCCGAGUGUAGAGGUGAAAUUCGUAGAUAUUCGGAGGAACACCAGUGGCGAAGGCGGCUCACUGGCUCGAUACUGACGCUGAGGUGCGAAAGCGUGGGGAGCAAACAGG
This 253-nucleotide ribosomal RNA is filed under the name uncultured bacterium. Its description in RNAcentral is "partial 16S ribosomal RNA". It matches the Rfam family "Bacterial small subunit ribosomal RNA", at positions 524 to 776 of the family's 1533-position model. The record is from RNAcentral.